CCUACGGGAGGCAGCAGUGAGGAAUAUUGGUCAAUGGGCUUACGCCUGAACCAGCCAAGUCGCGUGAGGGAAGACUGCCCUAUGGGUUGUAAACCUCUUUUGUCAGGGAGCAAAGCCGGCUACGUGUAGCCUGCCGGAGAGUACCUGAAGAAAAAGCAACGGCCAACUCCGUGCCAGCAGCCGGGGUAAUACGGUGGAUGCGAGGGGUAUCCGGUUUUAUGGGGUUUAACGGGGGCGUAGGGGGAAUGCCAAGUCCGCGGUAAAAUCGCGGGGCUCAACCUCGCUCCGCCGUUGAAACUGGCGUUCUUGAGUGGGCGAGACGUAUGCGGAAUGCGUGGUGUAGCGGUGAAAUGCAUAGAU
This 360-nucleotide ribosomal RNA is filed under the name uncultured bacterium. RNAcentral describes it as "partial 16S ribosomal RNA". It matches the Rfam family "Bacterial small subunit ribosomal RNA", at positions 338 to 695 of the family's 1533-position model. The record is from RNAcentral.